This 1729-nucleotide long non-coding RNA is filed under the name Lathyrus oleraceus (garden pea). RNAcentral's name for it is "Pisum sativum (pea) long non-coding RNA (PSAT_LNC040533)". Lineage: Eukaryota; Viridiplantae; Streptophyta; Magnoliopsida; Fabales; Fabaceae. The record is from RNAcentral.
AAUUUUAAUGAGUUUAACAACAACUUUUUCAUCAUUUUCACAAUUCAAUCAAAUUUCUUGGGUUUAACAGCAACAUUUUCAUCAUUGACACAAUUCAAUCAAAUUCCAUGGGUUUAAAUAGCAAAUUUUUAUAAUUACACAAUUCAAUCAAUAUUUCAUAGGUUUAACAACAACAUUUCAUCCAUUCCACAUUUAAUCAAAUUCAAGGUUUAACAGCAAGAUUUUCAUCAUUCCACAAUUCAAUCAAUUUAAUGGUUUAACAACAACAUUUUCAUCAUUCAUAACUUUUAUCAAUUUCAUGGGUUUAACACAACAUUUUCAAUCAAAUUCACUCACAAAUCAAUCAAUUUUCAUGGGUUUAAUAGCACAAUUUUCAUCAUUUCCACAAUUAAUAAAUUUCAGGGUUUUCAAUAACAUUUUCAUCAUUCACACAAUUCAAUCAAUUUCAUGGGUUUUAACAAAAAAGUCUUCAUCAUUCACAACAAUUCAAUUGAAUUUUAUUGGUUUAAAACAACACAUUUUCAUCAUUCCCACAAUUCAUCAAUCAAUUCCAUGGGUUUAAUAGCAACGUUUUCUCAUUUACACUCAUUCAAUCAAAUUUAUGGUUUAAACAACAAUUUCAUCAUUCCCACAAUUCAAUCAAUUUUCAUGGUUUAAAAUAAACAUUUUCAUCAUUCCCACAUCUAAUUAAUUAUUGGUUUAAACACAUUUUUCAUCAUUCCACAAUUCAAUCAAUUCCAUGGGUUUAAUAGCAGUUUUCAUCAUUAACUCAAUUAAUCAAAUUUUAUGGUUUUAAGAGCAACAAUUUCAUCAUUCCCACAAUUCAAUCAAUUUUUACGGUUUAAACAUAACAUUUUCAUCAUUCCCACAAUUCAAUCAAAUUUCUUGGUUUAACACAACUUUUCAUCAUUCCCACAAUUCAAUCAAAUUCCAUGGGUUUAAUAGCAGCGUUUUCAUCAUUCACUCAUUCAAUCAAAUUUUAAUGUUUUAAGCCAACAAUUUCAUCAUUCCCAUCAAUUCAAUCAAUUUUUACGGGUUUAACAGUAACAUUUUCAUCAUUCCCACAAUUCAAUCAAAUUUCCUUGGUUUAACAACAACGUUUUCAUCAUUCCCACAAUUCAAUCAAAUUCCAUGGGUUUAAUAGCAGCGUUUCAUCAUUCACCAUUCAAUCAAAUUUUAAUGGUUUUAAGAGCAACAAUUUAUCAUUCCCACAAUUCAAUCAAUUUCACGGGUUUAACAAUAACAUUUUCAUCAUUCCCACAAUUCAAUCAAAUUUCAUGAGUUUAACAGCAACAUUUUCAUCAUUCCAAAAUUCAAUCAAAAUAUCAUGGGUUUAACAGUACAUUUUCAUUAUUCCCCAAUUCAAUCAAAUUCCAUGGGUUUAACAACAACAAUUUCAUCAUGCGCAUAAUUAAUCAAUUUUAUGAGUUUAACAACAACUUUUUCAUCAUUUUCACAAUUCAAUCAAAUUUCUUGGGUUUAACGCAACAUUUUCAUCAUUGACACAAUUCAAUCAAAUUCCAUGGGUUUAAUAGCAAGAUUUUAUAAUUACACAAUUCAAUCAUAUUUCAUAGGUUUAACAACAACAUUUCCACCAUUCCCACAAUUUAAUCAAAUUUCAAAGGUUUAACAGCAAGAUUUUCAUCAUUCCCACAAUUCAAUCGAAUUUAAUGGGUUUAACAACAACAUUUUCAUCAUUCAUAAACUUUUAUCAAAUUUCAUGGGUUUA